This 2278-nucleotide long non-coding RNA is filed under the name Homo sapiens (human). RNAcentral's name for it is "HSALNT0329897". Lineage: Eukaryota; Metazoa; Chordata; Mammalia; Primates; Hominidae. The record is from RNAcentral.
CAUUUAGUAAUUUAGACUUUGAAGCCAUUGGAAGAAUCUUAAUUAAACCUUUUUUAGGCAUGAAAAAAUAGCUAUUACAGUGCUUGCAAAACCUAUCUUUCGCUUGGCUCAUGCGUUAUUAGGAUGAUGCUUAAAUUAUUAUUUUUUAAUGUAACUGUGUCUCCUUUGUAAGUAGAACAGCUCUAACAUCAUCACCUGUCAGGAGUUUUAGUUGUUUAAAUUGCUGAGAGCCACAAGUAGUGGUAACAAUGUUACAGGAAGGGGGAAGCUGUUACUAGACUGUCUCUAUAGUUAUCCUUUUUAUAUUUUAAAUUUGACGUUUGGUAUUCUUAAAGACCUCUGUUUGUGCUCCUGAAAUUUGACUGUUGUAAUGAUUGCAAAUGGCUAAUAACCAGGAUCUCUUCUGAGUCUGGGAACUGCUGAAGUUUGUUCUUUAGACCUGGCAGUUAUUUGCCAGUGGUUAAUAAUUAAGACAUUGCCACAGAGGUCCAAGUACCUGGAACUGGGAUUUGUUUCUGGUGACUAGUGGUGAGGAGUAGGGAAGAGUUUCUGUUGAUUUCCUGAGUCUACAUGUAUCUACUCUAGAUCCAAAGACUGACCAAGAAGUCAUGAGACUGUCCUAUCAGGUUCAGUUCUUGCUCUUUAAGAAAUUGUAAUUUCAACCACGUCUAUAAAAGAGGGAUAGAAAAAGCUCUAAGGCUGUGAUCUUAGACUUUAAAUGCUGUAGAAAUUCAUAGAAGUGAGGGAAUUAAGUGGAAAGGCUAUUGGACUGACAGAAGGCCUAAGUUUCAAAAUCUUAGAAUGCUGGAGUCAAAAGGAUGCUAAGAAUUAUCUAAUUCAACCCCUUUAUUUUUUAUUUUUUAAGAGUCAGAGUCUUACUCUGUUGCCCAGGCUGGAGCGCAGUGGUGCAGUCAUGGCCCACUGCAGCCUGGAACUCCUGGGCUCAAGCAGUCCUCCCACCUCAGCCUCCAGAGUAGCUGGGAUACAGGCACAGGCCACCGGGCCCAGCUAUCAACCCCUUUACUUUAUAGAUUAAGAAAUGUUGACUAGACAAGUGAUCUGUCCAAAUUUAAAACUAGAAAUAGAACCUUUAUCUCCCACCCUGUCUGAAUUAUUCUUUCCAUAUGUAGCUGCUUAGUUGUGUCUUUACCACUAAUUAACCAUGUGAACUCUAAGCAAGUUAUUUUACUUUUCUUCAUCUUUUUAUCUUUUGUAAAAUUAGGGGGUUAUUAUGAAUCAUUUCUAACAUCUCUGCUAAUGCCCCAGAUACUGUAAAUGACCCAGAAUGUAAUUGCGGGCAGUGUUAACUUAGCUUCCUAGAAGAUGGGGGAUAUGACUGGGCCUUGAAUAAAAUCCAAGAUUUGGCAGAGUAGAGAGGGAAAGAAUUCAUGAGAUGGGGAGCAGUAGAACAAAGGCUUAGGUGUGAAUAUGUGGCUGUAGUAAAGAGAAAUGGCCUGAUUAUAGCAAUUAUAUGAGGUUUAGUAGAACCAUUUAAGAAAGGUAAAGCCACUUCAUAGAAAUUAUUUUAUCCCUGGUUUGCUUCCUUUUUUUUUUUUUUUAAUAGCCUUGGGAAUCUUGAUUAUUUUCAAGGCUCUCUGUUUCUGUGAUCUAAUAUAGGAGACUGACAGUUUUGAAAACAUUAAUUCUCUCUCACCAAAGUAACUAUGGGGCAGAGAGAAUCACUAAUGUAACUAUAUGUGACCAGAAGAACUCUGUUGAGAAGAGAUUAUUAUUCAUCUCUGGAGAGAUAGUUUUGACUUGUGUUUAAUGAAAGAACAUGUCUGUAGGAUUAAAAAAAACUCUUAUGUUAUUUUACAUAGUGUAAGGCUAUCAACUUUUAUUAUUAAAAAUGAAAGCAGGCACUUUGGGAGGCCGAGGUACUUGCCUUCUUGAACUAUUAGAGAAGUGAUACUUUGGACCUGUUAGAGGAUCCAAUUCUAAUAUUAAGAUAGUUUUCCCCUCAUUUUAAUUAUAAUUGGGAAAUAAGGUUUAUUGGAAAGCAGACUCACCAACAGUUUUAGACAGUUGUGCAGGACAUUAAGUUAGUUGCUUUACAUUUAUAAGUAAAUUAUUUCAAAUUUAUAAGCAAAUUAUUGAAAUACAGAAUGGACUACAGUUACUACUGUUCUUUAUACGGCAUUUCUAACUUGUGCUUGACACUGGCCACUGCCUAGAAUCUUUCAUUGUUCCCGGGUGGGGUUAGGAAAAAGAUGCUGAUUUUGGAAGGCAGGGGUAGAUUGAUAGAACUCUUUUAAUUAGGAAUAAAAGAUAUUGGACU